This 1386-nucleotide ribosomal RNA is filed under the name Salmonella enterica. RNAcentral describes it as "partial 23S ribosomal RNA". It matches the Rfam family "Bacterial large subunit ribosomal RNA", at positions 589 to 1874 of the family's 2925-position model. The record is from RNAcentral. Lineage: Bacteria; Pseudomonadati; Pseudomonadota; Gammaproteobacteria; Enterobacterales; Enterobacteriaceae.
UGGGGUGACUGCGUACCUUUUGUAUAAUGGGUCAGCGACUUAUAUUCUGUAGCAAGGUUAACCGUAUAGGGGAGCCGGAGGGAAACCGAGUCUUAAUUGGGCGUUAAGUUGCAGGGUAUAGACCCGAAACCCGGUGAUCUAGCCAUGGGCAGGUUGAAGGUUGGGUAACACUAACUGGAGGACCGAACCGACUAAUGUUGAAAAAUUAGCGGAUGACCUGUGGCUGGGGGUGAAAGGCCAAUCAAACCGGGAGAUAGCUGGUUCUCCCCGAAAGCUAUUUAGGUAGCGCCUCGUGAAUUCAUCUCCGGGGGUAGAGCACUGUUUCGGCUAGGGGGCCAUCCCGGCUUACCAACCCGAUGCAAACUGCGAAUACCGGAGAAUGUUAUCACGGGAGACACACGGCGGGUGCUAACGUCCGUCGUGAAGAGGGAAACAACCCAGACCGCCAGCUAAGGUCCCAAAGUCAUGGUUAAGUGGGAAACGAUGUGGGAAGGCCCAGACAGCCAGGAUGUUGGCUUAGAAGCAGCCAUCAUUUAAAGAAAGCGUAAUAGCUCACUGGUCGAGUCGGCCUGCGCGGAAGAUGUAACGGGGCUAAACCAUGCACCGAAGCUGCGGCAGCGAACGUAUCACCCAAGACAACUUUACGGAGUUGACGAUUGACGGAGCGAAGCGACGUCAAAGCGUUCAUUAAAGUCGAGUUGGCUUAGGGAUACGUUCGUUGGGUAGGGGAGCGUUCUGUAAGCCUGUGAAGGUGUGUCGUGAGGCAUGCUGGAGGUAUCAGAAGUGCGAAUGCUGACAUAAGUAACGAUAAAGCGGGUGAAAAGCCCGCUCGCCGGAAGACCAAGGGUUCCUGUCCAACGUUAAUCGGGGCAGGGUGAGUCGACCCCUAAGGCGAGGCCGAAAGGCGUAGUCGAUGGGAAACGGGUUAAUAUUCCCGUACUUGGUGUUACUGCGAAGGGGGGACGGAGAAGGCUAUGUUGGCCGGGCGACGGUUGUCCCGGUUUAAGCGUGUAGGUGUGUGUUCCAGGUAAAUCCGGUUCACUUUAACACUGAGGCGUGACGACGAGGCACUACGGUGCUGAAGCAACAAAUGCCCUGCUUCCAGGAAAAGCCUCUAAGCAUCAGGUAACACGAAAUCGUACCCCAAACCGACACAGGUGGUCAGGUAGAGAAUACCAAGGCGCUUGAGAGAACUCGGGUGAAGGAACUAGGCAAAAUGGUGCCGUAACUUCGGGAGAAGGCACGCUGACACGUAGGUGAAGUGAUUUACUCAUGGAGCUGAAGUCAGUCGAAGAUACCAGCUGGCUGCAACUGUUUAUUAAAAACACAGCACUGUGCAAACACGAAAGUGGACGUAUACGGUGUGACGCCUGCCCGGUGCCGGAA